This 78-nucleotide transfer RNA is filed under the name Chlorobiaceae bacterium. Its description in RNAcentral is "tRNA-Val". It matches the Rfam family "tRNA". From Rfam's summary of the family: Transfer RNA (tRNA) molecules are approximately 80 nucleotides in length. Their secondary structure includes four short double-helical elements and three loops (D, anti-codon, and T loops). Further hydrogen bonds mediate the characteristic L-shaped molecular structure. tRNAs have two regions of fundamental functional importance: the anti-codon, which is responsible for specific mRNA codon recognition, and the 3' end, to which the tRNAs corresponding amino acid is attached (by aminoacyl-tRNA synthetases). tRNAs cope with the degeneracy of the genetic code in two manners: having more than one tRNA (with a specific anti-codon) for a particular amino acid; and 'wobble' base-pairing, i.e. permitting non-standard base-pairing at the 3rd anti-codon position. Lineage: Bacteria; Pseudomonadati; Chlorobiota; Chlorobiia; Chlorobiales; Chlorobiaceae. The record is from RNAcentral.
GGGUGCUUAGCUCAGCUGGUUCAGAGCGCCGCCCUUACAAGGCGGAGGUCGCAGGUUCGAUCCCCGCAGCACCCACAA